RNAcentral lists this ribosomal RNA (564 nucleotides) under uncultured bacterium. RNAcentral describes it as "bacterial SSU rRNA". It matches the Rfam family "Bacterial small subunit ribosomal RNA", at positions 338 to 916 of the family's 1533-position model. The record is from RNAcentral.
CCUACGGGAGGCAGCAGUGGGGAAUCUUGCGCAAUGGGCGAAAGCCUGACGCAGCAACGCCGCGUGCGGGAUGACGGCCUUCGGGUUGUAAACCGCUUUCAGUGGGGACGAACCAAGACGGUACCCACAGAAGAAGCCCCGGCCAACUACGUGCCAGCAGCCGCGGUAACACGUAGGGGGCGAGCGUUGUCCGGAUUUAUUGGGCGUAAAGAGCUCGUAGGCGGUUCGAUAAGUCGGGUGUGAAACCUCCAGGCUCAACCUGGAGACGCCACCCGAUACUGUCGUGACUAGAGUCCAGUAGGGGAGCGUGGAAUUCCUGGUGUAGCGGUGAAAUGCGCAGAUAUCAGGAGGAACACCAGUGGCGAAGGCGGCGCUCUGGGCUGGAACUGACGCUGAGGAGCGAAAGCGUGGGGAGCGAACAGGAUUAGAUACCCUGGUAGUCCACGCCGUAAACGUUGGGUACUAGGUGUGGGGUCUUAUCAACGGAUUCCGUGCCGCAGCUAACGCAUUAAGUACCCGCCUGGGGAGUACGGCCGCAAGGCUAAAACUUAAAGGAAUUGACGG